AACGUAGGAGGCAAGCGUUAUCCGGAUUUACUGGGCGUAAAGCGUGUGCAGGCGGGGGGUCUAGUGGUGUAUGAAAUCGCCCGGCUUAACCGGGCGGGGUUAUGCCAGACUGACCACCUGGAGGACGGGAGAGGGGCGUGGAAUUCCGGGUGUAGUGGUGAAAUGCGUAGAGAUCCGGAGGAACCCCAGCGGCGAAGGCGGCGCCCUGACCCGUACCUGACGCUCAGACACGACAGCAUGGGGAG
This 245-nucleotide ribosomal RNA is filed under the name uncultured bacterium. Its description in RNAcentral is "partial 16S ribosomal RNA". It matches the Rfam family "Bacterial small subunit ribosomal RNA", at positions 524 to 768 of the family's 1533-position model. The record is from RNAcentral.